Uranotaenia lowii is the source of this 809-nucleotide long non-coding RNA. RefSeq lists it as uncharacterized. The transcript is spliced from 3 exons. The record is from RefSeq and is a predicted model, not a curated record. Lineage: Eukaryota; Metazoa; Arthropoda; Insecta; Diptera; Culicidae.
UUGCUGCAAUAGAAUAAAUUACCGUGAUCGAUGGUCGGGAAGUUUGUUUGUUAUCUUGUUGUAUUCAUUCUUGCGACCAGCUGUAGAAUAGUGCUGUGCAUGAAAAAACAGUUUGAACAUCAUCUUUGCAAACUGAUCGCAACUUGCUAAAGUAGCUGAAGAACAGACCCAAAAUUGACCCAAACUUUUCAUGACGAAACCUUGCAAGGCCAAAGAAUCAAAGCAGUAAUCUUUCCGGACAGCGGAAUAUUAUCAACGAUCCAGAAAUGUUAAAGUAUCUAGAGAUAACCGGAAAAUGUUUCAAAUAUGGCUUGUUUCAAAUGAAAGGAAUAAUGUGGAAAAUCGGAGACGGAAUUUGGAAGAAAAGGUACACAAAAGAUCAUGAAACAGUCCACCAAGCUACGUCAUUUUGCUUCCAAUGGAAGAAGGAAACAGUUUUUGGUACUCGCAUAGAAAAAUAAACCAUGAGCCUCAAUUGGAACGCAUCGGGAAAGAACACAGUGAACAUGAUUCUGACACCGGUACAGAUCAACUCGUCUGCAAACGAAAUGGCCGGGAAAAGGAAACACAUCAGUGAAUCGCGCAGCAAGCAACUCUUGCCAUUGAUCUCCCGAUUGUUGUGUCAUGCUUCAAAAUUUAUGAAAACCUUCAGGCCUAAGUUGUACCGGCAAGGUAGUAAUUAUUAAUCAUCACUUUAAGCCUAUUUGCAACUAACACUUCUAAUCCGAGGAACUCGAACAGCUCAAGAAGAAAAUCGUUCAGUACUUACGAUAAUUUUUUUUUCGGAACUGGAGAUAAUGUCCCACUUG